GCGGUGUUUUGGUGAGCCUGAAUCGUCAUGGUAAGAUUUUCUAGUUCGGGGACUUGUGCUCCUACUUCUGUUUCUCCUUGAAACAGGAGAACGACGAUCAUAAAAUCUAACAAAAUCCCGUCUUCGACUUCUUUCAUUAGCAUAUCUAACAUCCCUAUAUGACCGCCUUUCAUCUUCGUAGCCUGAAUAACGCCGGGAUCUCACAGGUGACCUGGAUCUAUAAUCUCUUGAUCUCCGUGGAGGAGAGAAAGAACGGGAUCUCCGCCUUCGCCUAUAACUUAUUGGAGAUCUUGAUCUGGAUCGAGAUUUAGAUGGCGACCUGGAUCUUGACCUCGCACGACUGGGAGAAGGUGACUUAGCCUUGUCAUCAGUUUCCUUAUCUUCAGAAACCAGGCCGUUUGCUUUCAACAUCUUGCUUAUUUCUGCAGCUCUUGCGGCAGCCAAAUCUGUAGCAGUUUUCAUGGUUGCAGCUCGAUUAGCAGCUUGUUGUUCAGUCAUAGCUUGCUGCAUUAAUAAGGCUUGCUGGAACUGCAUCUGCUGCAUUGCUACCGCUUGCUGCAUCAUCAAGGGCAAAGAAGAAGAGCCCAUUGAUGAAUUUAAGACAGCUGCCUUCGGAGGAAGUUGUUUUGCCAUUUCAACAUUUAAGGGGCGACCACCAACUUCUAUAUUGUUCAAUGCUAAAGCAGCAGUUGCUUCU
Molecule: unclassified non-coding RNA, 697 nt
Filed under: Hevea brasiliensis (rubber tree)
Lineage: Eukaryota; Viridiplantae; Streptophyta; Magnoliopsida; Malpighiales; Euphorbiaceae
Source: RNAcentral